Molecule: ribosomal RNA, 1960 nt
Filed under: human gut metagenome
Description: bacterial LSU rRNA
Rfam family: Bacterial large subunit ribosomal RNA
Source: RNAcentral
UCAAGCUACUAAGGGCAUACGGCGGAUGCCUAGGCGCCAUCAGCCGAUGAAGGACGCGGUAAGCUGCGAAAAGCUACGGGGAACUGCAAGCAAGUAUUGAUCCGUAGAUGUCCGAAUGGGGAAACCCACCUGCCGUCAUGGGCAGGUAUCCGAAAGGAAGGGAACCCGGGGAACUGAAACAUCUAAGUACCCGGAGGAAGAGAAAUCAAACGAGAUGCCCACAGUAGCGGCGAGCGAAGAGGGCAGAGGGCAAACCGGGGAGCUACGGCUCUCCGGGGUUGAGGACUGCAUUUAGUCUUAAUGGUCUAUCCGAACUACCUGGAAAGGUAGGCAACACAGUGUAAAAGCCACGUAGGUUAAAGACCAAAGAGAUGAGCAGUAUCCAGAGUACCACGAGGCACGAGGAAUCUUGUGGGAAGCCGGGGGGACCACCCUCCAACCCUAAACACUGAAUGGCGACCGAUAGCGCAUAGUACCGUGAGGGAAAGGUGAAAAGAACCCCGGGAGGGGAGUGAAAGAGAACCUGAAACCGUAUGUCUACAAGCAGUCGGAGCGAAAGCGACGGCGUGCCUAUUGAAGAAUGAACCAACGAGUUACGUGCACUAGCGAGGUUAAGUGGAAGACACGGAGCCGAAGCGAAAGCGAGUCUUAAGAGGGCGGAUAGUUAGUGUACGUAGACCCGAAACCGCAGUGAUCUACCCAUGUCCAGGUUGAAGCGCAGGUAAAAUUGCGUGGAGGACCGAACCUGUGAGCGUUGAAAAGCUUUAGGAUGAGAUGUGGGUAGAGGUGAAAUUCCAAUCGAACGCGGAGAUAGCUGGUUCUCCCCGAAAUAGCUUUAGGGCUAGCCUCAAGUAGUAAGUAUAGGCGGUAGAGCACUGAUCGGGCUAGGGGCCAUAAAGGUUACCGAACCCUGUCAAACUCCGAAUGGUUAUACUGUAGAGCUUGGGAGUCAGACUACGAGUGAUAAGAUCCGUGGUCAAAAGGGAAACAGCCCAGACCACCAGCUAAGGUCCCCAAUGUCGUACUAAGUGGAAAAGGAUGUGGGGUCUCUAAAACAACCAGGAUGUUGGCUUAGAAGCAGCCACCAUUUAAAGAGUGCGUAAUAGCUCACUGGUCGAGAGACCCUGCGCCGAAGAUUACCGGGGCUAAAGUACGAAACCGAAGCUGUGGCUACGACUUAGGUCGUGGGGUAGGGGAGCGUUCUGUGAGGGCUGAAGUCGUUCUGUAAGGAACGGUGGAUUUCACAGAAGUGAGAAUGUUGGUAUGAGUAGCGAAAAGAAUGGUGAGAAUCCAUUCCACCGAAAGCAUAAGGAUUCCUGGGCAACGAUCGUCGUCCCAGGGUAAGUCGGGACCUAAUCCGAGGCAUGGAGCGUAGGAGAUGGACAACUGGCAGAUAUUCCAGUACCGGUAAUGAUUGUUUGAGCGAUGGAGUGACACAGGAGGGCAGGCAGGCAGGAGAUUGGUUGUUCCUGUACAAGCGUGUAGGAUGGGUUGCAGGCAAAUCCGCAACCUGUGAGUCUGAGGCGUGAUGUGGAGGUUCCGGAAACGGAACUGAAGCUGCUGACCCCACACUGUCGAGAAAAGCUUCUAGUUAGAGAAUUACCGCCCGUACCGUAAACCGACACAGGUAUGCGGGGAGAGAAUCCUAAGGUGCGCGGGAGAACCCUCGUUAAGGAACUCGGCAAAAUGUACCCGUAACUUCGGGAUAAGGGUAGCCGCUGUUGUGAAGUCUGAACAGAUGGAGCAUGAGGCGGUCGCAGAGAAGAGGCCCAAGCGACUGUUUACCACAAACACAGGUGCCUGCUAAAGAGAAAUCUGACGUAUAGGUGCUGACACCUGCCCAGUGCCGGAAGGUUAAGGAAGGAUGUCCGGAGCAAUCCAAAGCAUUCGACCGAAGCCCCGGUGAACGGCGGCCGUAACUAUAACGGUCCUAAGGUAGCGAAAUUCCUUGUCGGGUAAG